UUUGACCUGUUGCAAAUAAACUAUAAUAUCUCGGACGAUGGCAGCAGCGCCAUGUGUGUGAAGACUAGGCGUGACGCCGUCAUUGUGGAGGGCCACACAGUGAUGAGAAAUUUUACUUACAGAAACAUGAGUUCCACACUUCGACAAAGGGCCAGCGCACUAAUUAAUAUGACAUUUUAUAAA
Molecule: long non-coding RNA, 183 nt
Organism: Dermacentor andersoni
Lineage: Eukaryota; Metazoa; Arthropoda; Arachnida; Ixodida; Ixodidae
Source: RefSeq, a predicted model, not a curated record